GUGCUCGCUUCAGCAGCACGUAUACUAAAAUUGGAACGAUACGGAGAAGAUUAGCAUGGCCCCUAGGGGAAAAAAAAAAUGCUCCUCAGUCAGGCCUCCCAGUUACUU
Small nuclear RNA from Saimiri boliviensis boliviensis (Bolivian squirrel monkey), 108 nucleotides. Lineage: Eukaryota; Metazoa; Chordata; Mammalia; Primates; Cebidae. The record is from Ensembl.